ACGAACGCUGGCGGCGUGCCUAACACAUGCAAGUCAACUUGACUGAAGGAGCAAUCUGACAGUAGAGUGGCGCAAGGGUGCGUAACGCGUAAGUAACUUGCCCCAAGGUAAGGAAUAACGUCGAGAAAUCGGCGCUAAUACCUCAUAAUGCAGCGGAUCCGCAUGGAUAUGUUGUUAAAGGUUUACCGCCUUGGGAUAGGCUUGCGUCUGAUUAGCUAGUUGGUGUGGUAACGGCACACCAAGGCUACGAUCAGUAACUGGUCUGAAAGGAUGAUCAGUCACACUGGAACUGAGACACGGUCCAGACUCCUACGGGAGGCAGCAGUGAGGAAUAUUGGGCAAUGCUCGAAAGAGUGACCCAGCAACGCCGCGUGGAGGAUGAAGGUAUUCUAUAUCGUAAACUCCUGUGAGAGCAGACGAAAGACAGAUUAUUAAUCUGGAUGACUGUAUGCUCAGAGGAAGCCCCGGCUAACUACGUG
RNAcentral lists this ribosomal RNA (479 nucleotides) under uncultured bacterium. Its description in RNAcentral is "bacterial SSU rRNA". It matches the Rfam family "Bacterial small subunit ribosomal RNA", at positions 29 to 507 of the family's 1533-position model. The record is from RNAcentral.